GACCAGACUCCUACGGGAGGCAGCAGUAGGGAAUCUUUCACAAUGGGCGAAAGCCUGAUGGAGCAACGCCGCGUGCAGGAUGAAGGCCUUCGGGUUGUAAACUGCUUUUAUAAGCGAGAAAUAUGAUGGUAACUUAUGAAUAAGGAUCGGCUAACUCCGUGCCAGCAGCCGCGGUAAUACGGAGGAUCCGAGCGUUAUCCGGAUUUAUUGGGUUUAAAGGGAGCGUAGAUGGGUUGUUAAGUCAGUUGUGAAAGUUUGCGGCUCAACCGUAAAAUUGCAAUUGAUACUGGCAGCCUUGAGUACAGUUGAGGUAGGCGGAAUUCGUGGUGUAGCGGUGAAAUGCUUAGAUAUCACGAAGAACUCCGAUUGCGAAGGCAGCAUACCGGCGCCCAACUGACGCUGAAGCACGAAAGCGUGGGUAUCGAACAGGAUUAGAUACCCCCGUA
This 446-nucleotide ribosomal RNA is filed under the name uncultured bacterium. RNAcentral's name for it is "bacterial SSU rRNA". It matches the Rfam family "Bacterial small subunit ribosomal RNA", at positions 329 to 792 of the family's 1533-position model. The record is from RNAcentral.